UUUUAUAAAAUGGUAAUGUUACAUUAUGGAGAUAAGCCGCUUUUUUUUAGUGAAAAAUGAAAAUCUUACAUAUGUUUAAUGUAGUUUUUCUAUUUUUUUAUGUUGUAUGUUUACAUAUUAUUGUUAUUUUUAAAUGUAAAAUGGUAAUAUUACAUAUUUUUAAUGUAGUAUUUUCAUUUUUUUAUGUUGUAUGUUUAUAUAUUAUUUAUUCUUUUCGAAAUUAUAUAUAAUGUUUUUUUUUACAAAAUAUUAAUUUUACAUUAUGGAGAUAAACCGUCUCUUUUUAGUUAAAAAUGGUAAUCUUACAUAUGUUUAAUGUAGUUUUUCUAUUUUUUUAUGUUGUAUGCUUACAUAUUAUUAUUUUUUAAAUUAAAAAUGUAAAAUGGUAAUCUUACAUAUGUUUAAUGUAGUAUUUCCAUUUUUUAUGUUGUAUGUUUACAUAUAUUUAUUAGAGUAUUUGUACUCUCUACACAUAACUUACCCCCUAUUUGCACUCCAUACCCUAUUUCCCUUCAAUUUUUUCCCCCCAUCACUACCAUUUUCCCCCAACUCAAUGGUAUCUCACUCUUUUGAGUAUAUUGAGCUAAUUUGCUCUAUUUAUUAUUUUCAAAAUUAUAUAUAAUGUUUUUUUUUUUUAUAAAAUGGUAAUGUUACAUUAUGGAGAUAAGCCGUCUUUUUUUCAAGUGAAAAAUGGUAAUCUUACAUAUGUUUAAUGUAGUUUUUCUAUUUUUUAUGAUGUAUGUUUACAUAUUAUUUAUAAUUUGCAAAAUUAGUAAUAUUAAAGUGUAAAACUAUAUUUUAUGCCACGUGUCAUCUUUUGAGAGAAGUUUUUUUUGCUGAUGUGGACGCUCUAUGGAGCCUCAAAAGGUUCCUUUUAUUAGUAAGGAUUUUUAUGUUGUAUGUUUACAUAUUAUUUUUUUUUAAAUUAAAAAUGUAAAAUGGUAAUCUUACAUAUGUUUAAUGUAGUAUUUCCAUUUUUUAUGUUGUAUGUUUACAUAUAUUUAUUAUUUUCGAAAUUAUAUAUAAUGUUUUUUUUUUAUAAAAUGGUAAUGUUACAUUAUCGAGAUAAGCCAUCUUUUUUCAAGUGAAAAAUGGUAAUCUUACUUAUGUUUAAUAUAGUUUUUCUAUUUUUUAUGAUGUAUGUUUACAUAUUAUUUAUAAUUUGCGAAAAUUAGUAAUAUUAAAGUGUAAAAUUAUAUUUUAUGCCACGUGUCAUCUUUUGAGAGAAGUUUUUUUUUGCUGAUGUGGACGCUCUAUGGAGCCUCAAAAGGUUCCUUUUAUUUGUAAGGAUUAUGGAGAUAAGCCGUCUUUUUUUCAAGUGAAAAAUGGUAAUCUUACAUAUGUUUAACGUAGUUUUUCUAUUUUUAUGCUGUAUGUUUACAUAUUUUUUAUAAUUUGCGAAAAUUAGUAAUAUUAAAGUAUAAAACUAUAUUUUAUGCCACAUGUCAUCUUUCGGGAGAAGUUUUUUUUGCUGAUGUGGACGCUCUAUGGAGCCUCAAAAGGUCCAUUUUAUUAGUAAGGAUUUAUUUAUUAUUUAUUUUCUAUAUAUUGAGUAUUUUCUCUUUCUUAUACUUUAUAUUUAGUUAAUAUCUAUAUUUUAUAUUUUAAGAUAGAUGUUUAAAUCUUAAUGUAUUUUUACAUUUUUAAUGUAAAACGGCAAUGUUUAAUAGAAGAACUUGGACAAAUAGUCAAAUAGUUAUAUUUAUGUUUUUUUUCUUUUUUUAUAAAAUGGUAAUGUUACAUUAUGGAGAUAACCCGUUUUUUUAGUGAAAAAUGGAAAUCUUACAUAUGUUUAAUGUAGUUUUUCCAUUUUUUUUUAUGUUGUAUGUUUACAUAUUAUUGUUAUUUUUAAAUGUAAAAUGGUAAUAUUACAUAUGUUUAAUGUAGUAGUUCCAUUUUUUUAUGUUUUAUGUUUAUAUAUUAUUUAUUAUUUUCAAAAUUAUAUAUAGUGUUUUUUUUACAAAAUAGUAAUUUUACAUUAUGGAGAUAAACCGUCUUUUUUUAGUGAAAAAUGGUAAUCUUACAUAUGUUUAAUGUAGUUUUUCUAUUUUUUAUGUUGUAUGUUUACAUAUUUUUUUUUUAAAUUAAAAAUGUAAAAUGGUAAUCUUACAUAUGUUUAAUGUAGUAUUUCCAUUUUUUAUGUUGUAUGUUUACAUAUAUUUAUUAUUUUCGAAAUUAUAUAUAAUGUUUUUUGUUUUUUUUUUUUAUAAAAUGGUAAUGUUACAUUAUGGAGAUAAGCCGUCUUUUUUUCAAGUGAAAAAUGGUAAUAUUACAUAUGUUUAAUGUAGUUUUUCUAUUUUUAUGAUGUAUGUUUACAUAUUAUUUAUAAUUUACGAAAAUUAGUAAUAUUAAAGUAUAAAACUAUCUUUUAUGCUACGUGUCAUCUUUUGGGAGAAGUUUUUUUUGCUGAUGUGGACGUUCUAUGGAGCCUCAAAAGGUCUCUUUUAUUAGUAAGGAUUUUGGGAGAAGUUUUUUUUGCUGAUGUGGACGUUCUAUGGAGCCUCAAAAGGUCUCUUUUAUUAGUAAGGAUUAUGGAGAUAAACCGUCUUUUUUUAGUGAAAAAUGGUAAUCUUACAUAUGUUUAAUGUAGUUUUUCUAUUUUUUAUGUUGUAUGUUUACAUAUUAUUUUUUUAAAAAUUAAAAAUGUAAAAUGGUAAUCUUACAUAUGUUUAAUGUAGUAUUUCCAUUUUUUAUGUUGUAUGUUUACAUAUAUUUAUUAUUUUCGAAAUUAUAUAUAAUGUUUUUUGUUUUUUUUAUAAAAUGGUAAUGUUACAUUAUGGAGAUAAGCCGUCUUUUUUCAAGUGAAAAAUGGUAAUCUUACAUAUGUUUAAUGUAGUUUUUCUAUUUUUAUGCUGUAUGUUUACAUAUUAUUUAUAAUUUACGAAAAUUAGUAAUAUUAAAGUAUAAAACUAUCUUUUAUGCUACGUGUCAUCUUUUGGGAGAAGUAUAUAAUUAACCCGGGCUACGCCCGGGAUUUUUAUUUUUUUCUAAUUUAAGUUGUUAAAUUAUUUAUAUUUAGGUUAUGAUAUAUAAUUUUUAUAAAUAUUAAGAUGCAUGUCAUAAUUAAAAUUUAUUUUAAAUUUUAACACGUUCAAUUAACAUAUUUUUACUAUUUAAAUAUUUAUUUGUAAUUUUGUUGGCUAUCUAAUUAUCAUAUUUAGCAAAAUUAUCUGUUGAGUGUUGGAAUAAAUGUUUUAGAUAUUUAAUUAAACUGCAGAGUAUUUUCGGAUCGAUCACAUGCUCAACAAUCGAUCGAUCCGUAAAAAGAUGGUCGAUCUCCUUGGCCAGGUAAGUACAAUUUUAG
RNAcentral lists this long non-coding RNA (3304 nucleotides) under Brassica rapa (field mustard). RNAcentral describes it as "long non-coding RNA (BRAP_LNC003194)". The record is from RNAcentral. Lineage: Eukaryota; Viridiplantae; Streptophyta; Magnoliopsida; Brassicales; Brassicaceae.